AUCAUUUAUUUAUGGCAAGGAUUAAUUAAUAUGUUAAAUAAUCAAACGAAUAAGUUCGUUAAAGACCUCGGGAUAGUUUUGGACCUUAAGGCCCAAUGGGCUUCGAACGUCAAGCCCAUUAACUUAAGUUGUAUGACAAUUUAAUGAAUAAAGAUUCAUUAAAGCCCAAAAGGCCCAAAUUCCCUAAAUGGCCGGCCAUGUAUGUGAUGAAUUAGGGUUUUGGUUGUUUAGGUCACUUAAAGAAGUGACUAUAUAAAUGACUUUAUAACUAAAAAUUCAUUAAGAAAAAAUAAGGGUUUAUUUUUGGGAAAAUUGGUGAGAAUUGUCUCUCCAUUUUCUCUCUAAAGAGGCCAACACCUUGGAGGGUACAUCUAGCAAUC
Molecule: long non-coding RNA, 380 nt
Filed under: Malus domestica (apple)
Lineage: Eukaryota; Viridiplantae; Streptophyta; Magnoliopsida; Rosales; Rosaceae
Description: long non-coding RNA (MDOM_LNC020279)
Source: RNAcentral